Geodermatophilus obscurus DSM 43160 is the source of this 72-nucleotide transfer RNA. It matches the Rfam family "tRNA". Rfam says of the family: Transfer RNA (tRNA) molecules are approximately 80 nucleotides in length. Their secondary structure includes four short double-helical elements and three loops (D, anti-codon, and T loops). The record is from Rfam. NCBI's taxonomy places the organism in Bacteria, Bacillati, Actinomycetota, Actinomycetes, Geodermatophilales, Geodermatophilaceae.
GGGCGAUUGGCUCAGUGGUAGAGCGCUACCUUGACACGGUAGAGGUCACUGGUUCGAACCCAGUAUCGCCCA